UGCUUGCUUUAUCUGAGGUGUUCUUUAUUGUUAAUUCUUAAACUGAUGCCUAAAAUGGGGCAAUUCAAUUGUAAUGAGAAGCUUGCCAAGUUCUUCAAGCAUUCGUUGUCUGCUAUACUAGUCUUAGCCUUUUUUUAACUUGAAUACGAUCUAUAGCUAACAUGAAGGUCGUAGAUAGGAAGGAUGUGGUUUGUUUAGAACGGAAAGGGAGGAGGAAGUUGGGUGGUGAGACCU
RNAcentral lists this long non-coding RNA (234 nucleotides) under Elaeis guineensis (African oil palm). RNAcentral's name for it is "long non-coding RNA (EGUI_LNC028942)". The record is from RNAcentral. Lineage: Eukaryota; Viridiplantae; Streptophyta; Magnoliopsida; Arecales; Arecaceae.